Molecule: ribosomal RNA, 585 nt
Filed under: Gallionella sp.
Lineage: Bacteria; Pseudomonadati; Pseudomonadota; Betaproteobacteria; Nitrosomonadales; Gallionellaceae
Description: bacterial SSU rRNA
Rfam family: Bacterial small subunit ribosomal RNA
Source: RNAcentral
AUUAAACUGAAGAGUUUGAUCCUGGCUCAGAUUGAACGCUGGCGGUAUGCUUUACACAUGCAAGUCGAACGGGCUUGGGGGCUUGCUCCCGGGUUAGUGGCGAACGGGUGAGUAAUAUAUCGGAACAUAUCCGGAAGUGGGGGAUAACGUAGCGAAAGUUACGCUAAUACCGCAUAUGCCCUGAGGGGGAAAGGGGGGGAUCGCAAGACCUCUCGCUUUCGGAGUGGCCGAUACCGGAUUAGCUAGAUGGUGAGGUAAAGGCUCACCAUGGCGACGAUCCGUAGCGGGUCUGAGAGGACGACCCGCCACACUGGAACUGAGACACGGUCCAGACUCCUACGGGAGGCAGCAGUGGGGAAUUUUGGACAAUGGGCGCAAGCCUGAUCCAGCCAUACCGCGUGAGUGAAGAAGGCCUUCGGGUUGUAAAGCUCUUUCAGCCGGAAAGAAAUUGCUUCUAUUAAUACUAGGGGUAGAUGACGGUACCGGAAGAAGAAGCACCGGCUAACUACGUGCCAGCAGCCGCGGUAAUACGUAGGGUGCGAGCGUUAAUCGGAAUUACUGGGCGUAAAGCGUGCGCAGGCGGUU